This 254-nucleotide ribosomal RNA is filed under the name uncultured bacterium. Its description in RNAcentral is "partial 16S ribosomal RNA". It matches the Rfam family "Bacterial small subunit ribosomal RNA", at positions 524 to 776 of the family's 1533-position model. The record is from RNAcentral.
UACGUAGGGUGCAAGCGUUGUCCGGAAUUAUUGGGCGUAAAGAGCUCGUAGGCGGUGUGUCACGUCGGCCGUGAAAACCUGCAGCUUAACUGUGGGCGUGCGGUCGAUACGGGCAUCACUGGAGUUCGGCAGGGGAGACUGGAAUUCCUGGUGUAGCGGUGAAAUGCGCAGAUAUCAGGAAGAACACCCGUGGCGAAGGCGGCUCUCUGGAACGCAACUGACGCUGAGACGCGAAAGCGUGGGGAGCAAACAGG